UAAUACGGAGGGGGCUAGCGUUGUUCGGAAUUACUGGGCGUAAAGCGUAUGUAGGCGGAUCAAAAAGUUAGAUGUGAAAUCCCUGGGCUUAACCCAGGAACUGCAUUUAAAACUAGAGAUCUAGAAUUUGGUAGAGGAUAGUAGAAUUUCCAGUGUAGAGGUGAAAUUCGUAGAUAUUGGAAAGAAUACCAGUGGCGAAGGCGACUAUCUGGGCCAUUUUUGACGCUGAGAUACGAAAGCGUGGGUAGCAAACAGGACUAGAUACCCUGGUAGUCCACGCAGUAAACGAUGAGUGCUAGUCGCUGGAUCAAUAGGUUCGGUGUCGAAGCUAACGCAUUAAGCACUCCGCCUGGGAAGUACGGUCGCAAGAUUA
Molecule: ribosomal RNA, 373 nt
Filed under: uncultured Alphaproteobacteria bacterium
Lineage: Bacteria; Pseudomonadati; Pseudomonadota; Alphaproteobacteria
Description: bacterial SSU rRNA
Rfam family: Bacterial small subunit ribosomal RNA
Source: RNAcentral